This 2241-nucleotide long non-coding RNA is filed under the name Sus scrofa (pig). Its description in RNAcentral is "lncRNA (ENSSSCG00070016855.1)". The record is from RNAcentral. Lineage: Eukaryota; Metazoa; Chordata; Mammalia; Artiodactyla; Suidae.
GGACAGGCCACCCGACAGGGGCGGGGCCCUCACUGAUGGGAGGCGCCGAUGGGGGAGCUUGAGGUGGCGUGAAGGCGCAGCCUCUUCUGCGUUGGUCAGGGCCAGGGCCCUGGGGGAGGGGGAGGGUUUGGCACGCAGGGUGUGAGAGCGGCAGGUCCCUGGGUACCCCAAAUCCUGCCUAGCCCACACCCUGCUCCACCCACCCCCACUUCAUCCAGUCUGGCACAGCGCUCUGGUACUCCCCGGUGCCUGUCAACUGCGCACCCCCCUCGCCAGCCUCAAAGAACAGACUCGCCAGUUCUGGCCCCCCAGGAUUCCAAUCCCCCAUCUACCCGAUGCUGCAGCGCAUGCUGUCGCCAGCGGGGGGCAGUAGAGACCGAAAAAAGGUCGGCGCUCCCUGCCUGGAAUCCUGGAGCUGGGAACUUAGGGCGGGGGUCUGGGGGCUUGAGGCAUUGCCGAGGGGUCUGAAGGGCGACCAGGGUCGCCAGUGUUCUUGGAGCUCCGGAGAUCCCCGGCUGUAGGGGCGGGGGCGCUAUUUUGGUGCAGCAGCUGCUGCGGUUCCGGCAUCUCCAGCCAAGGGAUCAAAAUUCCCCGGGUCGGAACUCCCCCCUCUCCCGCCGGUCACCCCUCACCCAGCCCCCGCUGCCCCGAGCUGGGGUGGUAGUGAUGGAGAUUAACUAGGAAACCCGAGUGGGGCUAAUUAUAACUCGGGGCUUCCGCUAAGCCUCCCCUUCCCCCAAAAUAGAGACGGAGUCCCCGCGGGCGGGGGACGCCUGGGCCUGGGAGGGGGCUUCGGCUGGGCGCUGCUCAGGGGCGCUGAGGUCGCAGGAUCCGGGGGCACCCAGCCCGGCGCCAGGAACCUGCGCAGCUCGGAUUCCGCCCUAAGCAGGGGGCGUCUUCCAGUGGCCCCCAGACAGUCUUGGGGGCGAGCACAGGCAGCGGCGCUCGAGGGUCCCCACGGGAAUUCGAGAGCAGAAGCCGGGGCCGGCCCUGCAGGUUGCCGCGCGCGCGGGCGACCCAGCGGACCACUCCAGAGAGCCAGGAUAAGGGUGCAGGUGUCAGGAGAUCCACAGCGUCCUGGAGCAAGCCCUGGACGGGGUUCUCACUCAGAGUUCUGCCGACUGGUGGGGAGACCUCUGGAGGGACAACACUGCUCGUCUUGGCUUCAGUUUCCCCACGUCCAAAAUGGUGGAUUGGACUUGAAGGUAUGUCAGAAUCCCGGGGCCACUUACAGGCGCUGAUCCACCUGGUGUUGGGUGGAGUCCUUAAAUCUGCAUUUUUAGCAGGUCAUCAGGGCAGUCGCAGCACGAGGGUGGUCUGACAACCACAAGAGGAAAAAUGUGGGAUGAGGUGCCCCCAUAGUGGCACCAAACUGACCUCCUCGGGGUCAGCAGGCUGAGUAGGUCAGCAGGAAGUGCUCCGGGUAGUCAGCGGAUUCCAGACCUGACCCAGACACCUCUGGCCACCAGGGCAGAUGGAUAAAGAUUUGCGCUUAUUCUUAAAAGUGGGUAGAACUCCCGGAACAAUUCCCUUUUUUACCUUGAGCCUUUCUCUAACCUUUGUCAACAGGGACCUCACCUGUUGACCCAUAACACCUUCCCCUGUGUAGUCCAACAUAGUCACCUCCCCCGUGUGACCACACCUCCACAGCUGUCACUACAGAGAUGUUCUCAUCCAUUUCUUCCUUCUUCCUGUCUGCUUAUCCGGGAAUCCAUCUGGCUUCUGUCAUCAGUGCUGCCAAUUCUACAGCUCUUGCAUCUCUGUCUUCUACCUUUGCUAACACAGGGAACCCCUACUUCCACUGAAGUCCUCUGCCAGCAAAAAGGAUUCUCAUCUCUGUUGAUGUGUUAGGAUUCAGUUCAGCUAUGUGAGACAGAAAAUCAAACAAUAAUGGCUUGAAUUAAAUGUAAUGGAAAUAUAUUUCCCUCUGAGAUAAAAGGGACCCAGAAGUCAGCCAUGCAGGGUGGGCAGGAUGCCCUCGACGUCAGGGACCUGAUUCCUUUACAUAGAAUUUUCUUGCUUAAUCAUUUUCAAUAUGUAGCUUCCACUGCGUGGUGUAACAUGGCUGCUGGAGCAUCAGCCAUCACAUCUACAUUCCUACCAGCAGGAAGGAGGAAGGACUGAGGAAGGGUAUCCAUACUCCCUUUAAGGACACUUUUUGGGAAUCACAGACACACAGACUUCCAUUUAUAUCCCACUGGCCAGAACUUAAUCCUAAAGUCAGAACUGGCUGUACAGGAG